Molecule: ribosomal RNA, 609 nt
Filed under: Basiria sp. FZ01
Lineage: Eukaryota; Metazoa; Nematoda; Chromadorea; Rhabditida; Tylenchidae
Description: partial large subunit ribosomal RNA
Rfam family: Eukaryotic large subunit ribosomal RNA
Source: RNAcentral
UAUCUGGCUUGUAUUCAUCUGCGGUCCUGCGCCACGCAUGCGAUUCCAUACCCGCCUCGGUUGGAUCGUGUGUGCUGCCUCGGCUAUGGACUGCGGUGCAUUUGCAAGUGGAGUGCGCUGAGACUUGUGACGCAUCGGCUGGAUCAUCGUGUUGAGGCCAUGCUUCGGUGUGGUACCCGCACGUCGGAAAGGCUGUAUGUGCUGCAUGUGAAGAGUGUGGUUGGGGUUAGUGGGCGCCUAGUCGGUUGCUGGUAACGGUCGCAUGCGACACGUGCCAGUUUGCCGGUUUGGUGUUUACUAGUCUUUCAUGCUUGCUCUCGGUGUGAAAGUUGGUCAUCUAUCCGACCCGUCUUGAAACACGGACCAAGGAGUUUAGCGUAUGCGCGAGUCAUUGAGUCUGACAAACUCAAAGGCGUAAUGAAAGUAAAAAGCCGCAAUGUGGAUAUGUGAUCGAGUACACCUCGGUGUGCACGAGCAACAUAGCCCCGUCCCGAUCGCUUGCGAUGGGGCGGAGGUAGAGCGUAUUCGCUGAGACCCGAAAGAUGGUGAACUAUUCCUGAGCAGGACGAAGCCAGAGGAAACUCUGGUGGAAGUCCGAAGCGGUUCUGA